GAGUGCCACAGUGCAGCUGACAAAACCUGGGCUUGCACCUCUGCUUAUAGCUUAGUUGGCAAAAUCAGGAAGCACAAAACUACUGAGCUCCAAGACUUUUGAUGGGAAAAAAGCUUUCUCUGCUGGUUUCCCCAAAGACAGAUGGGAAUUUCAUCAAGAGAAAGCCUGCCACCUGAGGAGCGGGACAGAAGGAAGAGCUGGGACUGUUAAUGAAAUGGACCCACGCUCCUGGAUUCCUGCUGUGUCGCAGGCAGCGUGCAGUGCAGGAGGCUGCUCAUGUGCACCCUUGAAACCUCAGUGCCUUGCGUGCCACUGCUGCAAUCAACCAGUCUUCAAGGCAAUCAGGACCUUAGACUAACCACUCAGCUCAAUUAUAUUACAUGGCUGAUCCUUCCCCAAGGUGUAAGAAAAUUCCUACAAUGUAAACAUCUUAGGAUUCCCAUUUUCAAUGGUAUGCGAGAGGCCAGCUUUUCUGCUGAGGGACAAUGAAUCAAAACUGUAAUGUAAAUACGAAUGUUGGUUCAUUUGUAAAAAUCCUAGAAGAAAACAGACAAGGAUCGUGACUGAGCAGAAGUUUUGAGUAUCCCCCAGAGGGAGGAAUGAAAGUGUUUCCAUUACAGAAGAAGAUCACAGCAGAGAGAAAACAGAAUCCCUGAAGUGGCACUGCGUGUACUAGGCACAACCCCAGCAUGCUGGAAUAAUACACUCACCUUGUCCACAAUGCAGAUCUGCUUCUUGCUUUGCACAUCAAGGAUUUCCACUUCAAAACAUCCGCAACAGACCUGAGAGAAAUAAACACAGCCAACAGACAGGUACAGGUACGGUAAUCCUAUCUGCAAGAAGUACAAAGUGAAACCUCCACCCCCAGCCCCUUGCACACAAACAACACACCUACUUCCCUACCAAAAUAUGCAGAGCGUGAUGCAGAGCUCAAAUCUGAUGGCAGUCAGGAUAUACUGGAAAAGACAGCUGUUGGGCUGCAGUGAUGGAGCAGCCUAAGGAGAUGCUCCAGGGUCUCACAGCAGACUUUGGGCACUGUAAUGUGCAGUUGCUCCCUUAAGGAAAGCCACUGGCUUGGCUUCUGUAACUCAGUGCUGUGAUGAGCUCCCCGCCAGUCUCUGCACCCCAACAGCAAAGCAAGCAACAAAGCAGCACCUACAUUGAUGAGAGUCCUCAGAGCAUGGACAGGCAGCAAGUUUCCCUGCAUUUCGUUGCAGUUUCAAGCUAUCGUGCCACUUCACGGACUGAAUAGAGAAGACUGAGUGGAUUAGCGUAGGACAGGUGCUGAUACCCUGUACUUUGCAGCAGUGUAAGCUUACUUCAUGUCCUCACUUAAUUUCAACUGAGUAUAUUACUGACAGCAUUUUUUAAAUCCCCCUCGGAGAACACAUCCUGACUGGAUAAUGGAUUGUAAUUUCACAGGUCUCUUCUGCCUACACAGCUACAGCACCCGCCCCCCAGCUUAGUGCUCUUCUUGUUGCAUACACAUCGGAUGUAGAAAGAUGUUUCUCCUGAGAUCAGACCGCUUUCCUGGCAGGGCUAGGGCCCGGUCCAGCAUGGAAAGCAUCGUUCAGACUGUUCUGCUGGCAGCAGAAGUAGGUGACAAGAGCCCAGGCGUUGCUUGCAAUUUGGCAGCAUCACCCUUCAAAGGUUACCACCUCAUCAAUCCUGCCAUCUUCACAGCACCUGGGGCCACCACGUAACCUGAAAUAAAGCCUGCUGAGACACCCGCCUCCCCUACGCAUGGUACAAUGCUGAAUGCCCCUCCACGACCUGCCUGUAUGAGCUCCAAGCCUCCCUCAGUGCCACUGCUAAUCACCAGGCAGAAGGGCAGACACAAACAAGCGUGCCUUGUGGUCUUACGCCACACAGCAUCCUGGAACUUGGAAGUUGAACGUGGAAGUUGAGAAGAACAGGGCUUUAAACUUGAGCUCCAUGUGAAAACAUACUGUUAGCUUCAGAAAUGCUUCUGUGGCUUCUCGUGAAACACCUGUGUUCAUAGUGAGAAAGCAUUUUCCACCUGUUUUUCUACUGCUGACACAUAUCUGUUUAUUCACGCUUUUCUUUAUCACAAAUGAUGUUUGCACAGAAGCAUUUUAAAGCCCCCAAAAAUGCUGCCUGUACAGCAGAGUUGGCAGGGAAGAAUGCACUAAUUUGUGUGAAACUAACGAUGCACAGACUUCCCUCGUCCUUUAGCAAAUCAGGAAGGAGAGAGGCUUGCUGUUUGUAUUAGUUAGUGUGUGACAACUCAGCAGUAAGUACUUUGGCUCUGAGGACAAGCAAAGCUAAAGCAGACGGUUGCCGCAGCAGACUUUAAAACCUUGACAGGAGCCGAUAUGUGAGCUUGGUCUGCCAGAAGACAGCACUUGUUGCUUGACACGUUAGGACAACAGUGUGUCACUCAACACCUCUGGAGUCCGAGGUUCAGUUUAACAGCUCCUAGUAAGGAAUGGCUGGGGCCAGCUUGCAAGCAGUUGCAGGACAGCUACCGUGUGGUUACAUCCAGCUGUCAGAAUUAUCUUUGCUUUUUUUUUUAAAAAAAAAAAAAGGGGAAGAAGAAAAAAAUAGCCGAAUGUGCUGUUAGGUUGACAACUGUCUCUAUAAGGCACUCUUGCAAUUUCCAUAACCGUUCUGGGGACAGGGUCAUACAGACAGAUGUGACAAGGAGAGCUGUGGCAUUUAACAGCCUGGGAAACAACACGGGCAGAUUACCUGUAAGCUGUCAGCAUGCUUUGUCAGGCCUUUCUGCUGCAGAAAGCAACUCAGUUCAAACAAACACCUUCAAAAAUGCUCCAAAAUACAUCCCCUGGGUAGAAACAAUACACCCUACUGUGUGGAGUACUCUGAAUGGCUGAAGAUGCUGCUUGUAUGUAAAGGGAACAUGAGGGAGGAUUUAGCAUCACAUGUGCAAUCUUCUAGGACUAGAAAUCUGCCAGUGGAAAGGGAAAAUCAACAGCUGCCUAGUGGAGCCUGAUGCAGUUACUGUUAGUUCUACAAGCUGGUGAGAUACAGCAUUUGUUUGCAACAAGGAAGCUCUCCAAGCACCCUGGCUCACCUCUGCCAUCUUGCAAUGGGAGACCAAAAUGCCCACAUUUGGAAGGACGUCCGCCCUUCAGCCCACUUGCUAGAGCUGCAGACAACCACAGGCAUUACUGCCACACAAAAGGCCGUGCUCCAAUUUGCUUUCCGCUGUGACUUUCCACGGAGAGCAAACCACGUACGAGCACCGCAGAUGCUGUGUGAGAGCCCACCCGCUUUAGCAGUCUUUGUGCCAGAGCUCUUGGCACUCUGUCAGCCCCGAGAGGAACUGGCUGUGCCUGCAAGUCUCUUUACAGAUAAAGAACCUGCUUUGCUGAUGCUGCUGUCAAUAAAAAGGAAUUGGGGGCUUCAUUCUAUUCUCCAAAAGCUGAUUUUGCAUGCACAAGCACAACAGCAAAGAACAGACACUGAAAAUAACUAGUAAAGGGACAUGAUCACAGUCUGCUUUCUUUUUUUCUUUUUCUUUGCAGAUUUAGCUGGUACAGAGCUCCCAGCUUCAAGGUGAGCUGUUGGUGUAUACAGUUUUAGUAAUAAAAAAUGGCCUCGGGUUUCUAACAAGCAUUUGGAUUCACAGCAUUUACAGCAAAGCGGACUGACCCCUGGUGUAUGAAUUUGGUUCAGCUAAGCGUGGGACUACCUAACUAGAGGGAACCACAAGCUCAGCCUCAAAAUAUUUCUUUCAGAGGACUUCCUUGGCAGACUAACACCAAUUUAAAAUUAAACACUUGGUUCUUCAGCCAGAAUAAAAAUAAGAAUUUAAUGAAUAGGGCCAAAAAAAAAAAAAAAGUUUCUCUCAAAGUUUCUCCCAGAAAACAUUUCUGUUUUCAGCUAGCUGUAGCACUGGAAUAAUAAGAGGUGUGCUCAAGGGUAAAAAAGGACCUGUGUCCAAAGAGGAAAAUAGCAGCAUUCUUGUAUCUUCCUUUGGCACAGCCUACCAGUACGCACUGAUGACGUUAUCAUUUUUGUUCUUACACGAUAACUAGUGCACCACACCUUUUUAAAACACUCCUAAACAAAGGGAGAGGUUCUUUUACGAAGAGUAGAGGAGGCCCCCGGAAUCCUACAGACAAACCCAGCACGUCCUGUGUUGUAGGGGAAUAUCACCAGCAGGAUGCUGCACAGACUUGCCAGCCCCUCGGGUCAGGAGACAAGCUGGGCUCCUCAGGCCCAAGUAUGAAGUCAGCACCGCUGAGAUGCUGAUGAAGAAAGAGUCAGGCAUCUUCCCCAGCAAAAUAUUUAGCAGUUGCUUUAAUAAUGUGCUGUGUAUCACUACGGGGCAAGUUCUGAGCCAAAAGUUGAUCGGUUCCUACUUGAUAAUCUUUAGACUUCGUGAGACAAAGUUUUCAGGUUUGAUAGUUUCUCACAUGGAACUACUUUUUAUAGCUGUCUGUUGAGAAAUGCUAUGCAAGAAGGCAAAAUCUUCAGCAGCAGCAUGUGCCUCAUUUUCAAUAGCUCUGUCAGCUUGGUCCCAGAGAAGCUGAAGUACAGUUUACAUCUCUCCCUUCUGAAAUCGAACAACGGAUAGCAACAAUACGGGACAAUAUAAAAGUGCCAGUAAAGCAUCUGUAGCUACUU
Molecule: long non-coding RNA, 4614 nt
Organism: Oxyura jamaicensis (ruddy duck)
Lineage: Eukaryota; Metazoa; Chordata; Aves; Anseriformes; Anatidae
Exons: 9
Source: RefSeq, a predicted model, not a curated record